RNAcentral lists this ribosomal RNA (474 nucleotides) under uncultured Bacillus sp. RNAcentral describes it as "bacterial SSU rRNA". It matches the Rfam family "Bacterial small subunit ribosomal RNA", at positions 119 to 589 of the family's 1533-position model. The record is from RNAcentral. Lineage: Bacteria; Bacillati; Bacillota; Bacilli; Caryophanales; Bacillaceae.
GGGCAACCUGCCUGUAAGGCUGGGAUAACUCCGGGAAACCGGUGCUAAUACCAGAUACAAUCAAAGACCGCCUGGUCUUUGAUGGAAAGGUCUUGUACCGCUUACAGAUGGGCCCGCGGCGCAUUAGCUAGUUGGUGGGGUAACGGCCUACCAAGGCGACGAUGCGUAGCCGACCUGAGAGGGUGAUCGGCCACACUGGGACUGAGACACGGCCCAGACUCCUACGGGAGGCAGCAGUAGGGAAUCUUCCGCAAUGGACGAAAGUCUGACGGAGCAACGCCGCGUGAGUGAUGAAGGCCUUCGGGUCGUAAAACUCUGUUGUCAGGGAAGAACAUCCGGGAUAACCUCCCGUUCUGACGGUACCUGAUCAGAAAGCCCCGGCUAACUACGUGCCAGCAGCCGCGGUAAUACGUAGGGGGCAAGCGUUGUCCGGAAUUAUUGGGCGUAAAGCGCGCGCAGGCGGUUUCUUAAGUC